Molecule: transfer RNA, 127 nt
Filed under: Spirochaetota bacterium
Lineage: Bacteria; Pseudomonadati; Spirochaetota
Description: Spirochaetes bacterium (wastewater metagenome) tRNA-OTHER
Rfam family: tRNA
About the family: Transfer RNA (tRNA) molecules are approximately 80 nucleotides in length. Their secondary structure includes four short double-helical elements and three loops (D, anti-codon, and T loops). Further hydrogen bonds mediate the characteristic L-shaped molecular structure. tRNAs have two regions of fundamental functional importance: the anti-codon, which is responsible for specific mRNA codon recognition, and the 3' end, to which the tRNAs corresponding amino acid is attached (by aminoacyl-tRNA synthetases). tRNAs cope with the degeneracy of the genetic code in two manners: having more than one tRNA (with a specific anti-codon) for a particular amino acid; and 'wobble' base-pairing, i.e. permitting non-standard base-pairing at the 3rd anti-codon position.
Source: RNAcentral
GGACAGGUAUCUCAGAGGCAGAGAGGUCAUUGAUUAUUAUCGAAUAUGAGUCCAAAGGGCUGUGACAAGGCCAGCCACAUGAUAAUAACCGUUGACCAGGUCGCAGGUUCGAAUCCUGCCCUGUCCA